UCUUUGUAUUUCUUCUCUCUCGUGCGAAAAGGCGAUUGAAGAUGCGAUUCAUGCGAAAUUUGGGAAAAUCAAUCGAUUCACAUCGAAUUUGUUGAAUUUCCCGGAUUAAUCUGGAGGUUCAUGGUCACCGGAGGCGAUGGCUAACCAAAAUAGGCGUAACCCUAACUUAAAUCCCGGCUAAAGCUUUCACCUUCUUCGUUGAAUUGCGAGCAGAGAGGAAGGAAUCAUCAGCAGAGGAAAAAUGGUAUUGGAUAUUUUAUCGUGGAGCAUGAGAAUUCCUACUACAAGCAAUUGUUGGAGCAGAACAAGCAAAUUCAAGAGCCUGCAUAUAUUGAGAAGUGCAACGAAUUGUCUAAGCAAUUACUCUACACUCGUCUAGCUAGGUCAUUACCUUUUCAUUCUCUCUUUUUCUCUAAGCAUGUUUCCAAGGGCCAUGCUCUAGCCUCUAGAGUCAGUGUUGCUGAGAAUUCUUUUAUCGAGCUAUCCUUUUAUGCAUACUUUUGAAACAUCAUUAAUCUUCAGAUAAUACUGCUGAAAUGGAUUUGCAUUAGUUGCAAGUAGUCAACCAUUUUGCCUUAUAGACUUUGAUAGAACUGAAAAAGAUGUGCUUGAGAAAUUUGGUGUUAUCUGAUAGUACUUUUUGUUCUCGAUGGAAUUAAGUUGAUAAAUCCCUGAUGAUUCAGUUAGUCUCUGUGCCUAUUAUGUUUUAACAGUCCUGAUUACACAACUUAUGAUCCAUAGCGUGUCUUAGCUAUUAGUUUUGUAGAAAUUUGGCUUUUGGUAAUUUGCUAAUACUCACUCUUGUUAUGAAUUACAGCAUUCCAGGGCGCUACAAAUUUUUUUGGAAAGAAGUAGAGUACGCAAAGAACUUAAUGAAGAACAGAGCGAAUCUGAAAUUGAGACAACAGCAAUGUCGUUGGCAGAGGAUUCACUUUCGUAGCUUGUAACUCCCCUCCAUAUGAUUCCUCACUGAACUAUAUAUACUUCCUCCAAUCCAUUUAUAUUUUCAGUCUAUUCCUAAAACAGAGGUUUUGGAGCUAAGGGGAAAAAACCAUUUUUGGUAAAGCUCUUAAUAAAAGAAAUUGAGAAAAAUGCAUUUGAUACAAGAUUCAUCUUCAAAUUUUGUAAUAUAUGUGAACUAUUUUGAAUUUUGUAAAAUAUGUUUAAUA
Molecule: non-coding RNA, 1169 nt
Organism: Camelina sativa (false flax)
Lineage: Eukaryota; Viridiplantae; Streptophyta; Magnoliopsida; Brassicales; Brassicaceae
Source: RefSeq, a predicted model, not a curated record